GGCCCGUGCAGCACGAAAACCACUUCCACCACGGCGUACCAGCAAGCACGCUGCAACUCUCCCGGCGCGCGGCCGGCGAGGGCCAGCAUCCGCGGCGAAGGGGAGCGAGAAGGAGGCCGCGCGCUUCUUCUCGUUCCUCUCUCACCGGCGGCGGCCGUCCCAUUCGAGGCGGCUCGAUCUGGUUCGGUUCGGUUCGGUGGAGACCACCCCUCGUCCAUCCCGCGCUGCCGCUCACUAGCCACCAACCAGGCAGUGGCCGUCGCCGUCGCCCAUUGCCAUUACCGGCUAGCCUGUGACAGCCUCUGCAUAUACUCUGCUGAGUACUAGCAACUCUUUCCAAGAUAGUGAUUAAGUGAAUAAUUAUUUUGUUUUCGAAUAAUCUUACAUCCAUCACGUCCAGCUUGCACCAUACCAUUUCCAACAUUAUUUAUGUCAGUAGUCAAACUUUUAUAGGAUAUGUAAGGUUUGUUUCAUUAUUUUGUAAAGGACCUUAGGAAGGCAUUGGUGUAUUUGCAAGUUAAGUUGAAUGAAGCAAUGAUAAUUUAUUUGGAGGACCAAUCCAGGUGAGCAUGAUUGAAAGGGUCAGCUAUAUCGAAGUGACAUAUGUGCAACAUAAGAUAAGGAUACCAAACUCAACCUAAUUAUUUUCUUACUGUCCUGUGCUGCAAGGUGUCAACUAGACUAGAUAUAUUAUGCUUAUUUGCACUCUCUUUUCAUUGCAAAUUAUAUAUUAUCAUGACCACAAAUUCGGUUAUACCCGUGCAUGUAUAAGCUAGUUGAAUUUGCCUAAGAACAAUUGAAACUAUAUGAUUACGAUUUUUUGUAUCCAUUGAUUUCGUGUUUAUAUACAGCUUAAAUACGGAACCUGCUAUCAUUGAGAUGUAAUACCACUUAUGUCAUUAAGCAGUAUCCUGGGUACAUACUGAGUCCAUUCACUGUCCUCUCUACACUAAAUAGAGUAUAAUGUUGCUGAAUUAUCCUUCUCUCGAGCUUCUCAGUGUCAGACAUCAAGUAUAAAAAUUCUGUAUGCACUAGACUGACAGAUGUUCGUAAUGAUCUCAUGAGGAUUUAUGCUUAUGAUGUGAUGAUCUGUUUGGAAUCUGGACUGCAUCCUUUCUAUUUCAUCUUCUAUCAUGAAGUCUAUACUCCAAUGACUUCUGUCCAAAUGUUUAUUUCAGGUGAAAGAAUCUUACACUGACAUCUGCUAUUUGGGUAGCUGCUUGGCUCGUAUGAGCACGGAUGCAUAUCAACCCACGAGCUAUAUGAGGCCCAGCGUGGUGAGGAUCUUCCUAUUUUGAGCUAUUCGGUGAUGAUCUAAAUGUUUCCUUUAAUAGCCAAUAGGUGAGAUCGAAGAUUUCUCAUCUAACAUCUAGUUUAUGUUAUCUCCAUGAAAGUUCUGGCAAUCGGAAGUAUGGUCUCUGAAAAUGACCCCUCAAAGGCCAACCCACUCGUAUGGCUGGAAAGAUGAAAGAAUUUUUAUGUUGAUAUGUUCCUGUCAGUCAACAGUAAGGUUGCCAUAUUUAUAUGGCAUCAGGAUUCUUUAUCUCGGUAUUUACUGUAGUGUGCAAUGCCUUUGUGGACUCCAAAGCCACUCCUGUAGUUAUCUAAUCAAUCAACUGGCCCGCUAGCCCAAAUACUUUUGUUAUAUUUACAGUAUGAUAUAAAUAUAAUGGUACACCUCAGAUUGGACUGACAACGAGAUGUGGUGUAGAUGGACAUCAAAGUGAAAUGAUAAAACAUGUCCCUUUCAAAAGAACUUAGACUCCACCAGUAUGGAAUAUUUAUCUUUAACGUCAGCUGUGGACAUACUGAGCUCCAGUCCUGCACGCAGUACGUGGUACGGGAUGCUCAUUAAAGGUCUCCCCAUCUUACAAUUGUGAUGCAAUUUCAGCAUCUAUAUAUGAUUUUGCUUGGAACUUCUUUAUCAUGUAGUUCGGCUCCUGUUCAUAACAAGGCUAGUUAGUGCAUGCAAUAAUUCACACAAGCUUGCGAUCUGAUUCCCUCACGAAUUGCUUUACUAACAGUGGAGAUAUUGGUGUGCCAUACACAAUGCUUAUAAUAAAGCACUGUUCAAUGCAGAAGUCUAGGGUACAAAGGAGGUGGGUAAUGGGAAGAGGGGUCCCAUAGCAAUGUUAACCAUGAGAGAUGGGUUGGUUAUUGAGGCCAUGUGCAACGGGAGGGCACAAGUGGGGAACAGGGAUUGCACGGGAUAACAUGGGAGCCAUGUCUCUCCAUGUUGCCUAGUGUGUAUUUGUGUAUAGCUUUCAUUCUUGGCUGGACUCCUCUGGCAAGGGAAUAGCCACCACCAAACUCAUAAUUCCCCGCACUUCGGCUUUACAUCUCUCUUACCCUUUUCCUACCUCUAGUAGCAACCAGAUGAAAUAGAAGCUUUACUAUUUGCCCCCUUUUCCAUUUUACUUUUGCGGAUCCCAUUCCAACUGGUGGUCAUCCUUGCGGCGAUGUGCAAGAGAAUUUUUUCUGAGGAUGGUGUGUAAGAGAAUUCGUUCUUUCGGACGCGAUGCUUUGUUGAGUUAGGGUUUUCGACAAAGUGAACAAAAUCGAUUCCUUGAAAGUUACCAAGUAGUUAGAUGGCUCAGCUUUGAGCUCGAAGUAUUUCGGCAUCUCAUCAUCUAUUGUUGCCUACUGAACCUAGAUAAGUUGCAGGCCAGGGCCUUGCAUGCUAUGGUCAUGGAUGGAUGAUUGUGCAUGCCGCCAGAAAGUUUUACUCACGGUGUAUAGUUAUAGACCGAAGGCGCAAGCUGCACCCGGCUUUAUUUUUUGAUUAAUAAAGCCCAUAAUGGGAACCAUGAACAUAGACUUACAGAACUGAAAGAAAAAACAAAGACUGGGGAGCACCAUUAAGAUGAAAUGCAUGUCAGAGAGAACUGCCUCCUAUGCACCAGAGCCUCAGUGCGCUCGCUGAAUCAUGAGACAAGACAACCUGAGCAGGCACACCAGCAAUUUUCACCUCACUUCACUUGUAACUAAGCAAUUAUGGUGAAACAGACUUCCGAUUGGCAGUUUUCUGGUGUGUGGCUUUCCACUGCCCUGUAAUAACAAUAACACUCGAGUAUGAUAGCUUUAGGUGAUUGUACCUUUUGUGGAACAAACUUUGGGGAGAAAUAUUUGCUGUAACCAUGAUGUGCAACAGUACAAGCAAAAUGUUGGCACUUUAACCAAACGAGAAGGAAGCUGGGCCUGUCUUUAUAUGAGUGUGGCCAAUUUUUUCCACCGUGAGGUCUGAGAUGGCGAAGACAAGAACAUUUUGGCGAUUAAAAGCCUAUUUGUCAGUUGGGACUUGGGAUAUUGGUUUGGUCCAGCUCAUAUGUACUUUCAUCUGUUUUUGGUUAUAUUCCAGCCCAGUGCCAGCUCUUCAGUUGCCUCGUUGUCGAGCGUCAACAAUCUUGCGUGAGUCAUAGAAAUCCCAAGGCGGUGUACAUUUGCGUAUGGAAGUCCAAUCUGAUUGCUCAAGAAACCUGUGUUAUUAUGGCGUUCAUGUGUACACACACAGGGGCAACCAAAUUGGCUGGCCCUCUUUCAUUGUGGCCGUUGAAGUAUUGUUGUCAACAGUUGGUCCUAACUUCACUUGUUGGGUAGGCGCUGGCUCAAAAGGUUAAUGGAGUACACCAAUAUAACUUUGUACAGAUGCACACCGCACAAUUGGUUAUGGAGUGUCAACAGUUGGCAAAGAUUAACACGCCAAGCCAAUGACAGCCCCCGUCCUGGACGCUAACAGUCUUGGAUUUUUGUCGCAACAGAAAAUGGUCCUGCUCCCAGCCCAGCCAUAAUCAGGAUAGAGCCAGUUCAUGCUUUCCUCUGAAGAAAGAAGCUUCCUUUUCUCCUCAGACAUGGCCAGGCUAAUCCGCUGUAAAUGACUGGGGUACUACAUGCAGUGCAGGCGUUAGGAGCGGAGCGGUUGGUUGAUCCGCAGAUUGGUUUGGCAUUUGUCGAAGACAGGGAAGGGAAUCCAAAUCCAGGCUCUGAUCUGCUGGGAUCGAUGCUGUUUCUUCAGGGGCAAGUGAAGCCCGUCCGUCAUGAUUUUACCAGCUUCAGAGUCACGCCUUGGCAUGUGAUCUGAUCGGCGGUAUGCAAGAUUUGUGGCUAACUUGCUCAUGAUCUUGUGGUCCAGAUGCACAAGCAAACUGGAUUUGUGGUUUAUCUUGCAAGGAACGAUGGAUCUAUUGAAUUAGUUGCUUCCAAGUUUGAAAACGACAAAGGUGAAAAAAAAAGAUGGUGAUGUUUAGACCGUCUCCAGCACAGCGGGACCAUGAGAGAUUAUUCUUCGCUGGACCAUAAUCUCGUAAUGAUACCUUACAUCGCUACGCUAGGGGUCACUUUAAUAUCCAUUUAUACACCUCUCUAUUAACUCAAUCUGCUUUUCCCAAUGUAUUAACUUGGUUAAUUAUGAACUGUGAUUUUGUAAUUCACACGACCUCUCGGUAUGCCCAU
Non-coding RNA from Triticum urartu, 4449 nucleotides. NCBI's taxonomy places the organism in Eukaryota, Viridiplantae, Streptophyta, Magnoliopsida, Poales, Poaceae. The record is from RefSeq and is a predicted model, not a curated record.